GGCCUCGUAGCUCAGUUGGCUAGAGCUUUGGCUGUACUAAAGCCUUCCCCUUGCUGGCGUGGGUUCAAAUCCCACCGAAGCCA
RNAcentral lists this transfer RNA (83 nucleotides) under Schistocephalus solidus. It matches the Rfam family "tRNA". Rfam says of the family: Transfer RNA (tRNA) molecules are approximately 80 nucleotides in length. Lineage: Eukaryota; Metazoa; Platyhelminthes; Cestoda; Diphyllobothriidea; Diphyllobothriidae. The record is from Rfam by way of RNAcentral.